Long non-coding RNA from Myxocyprinus asiaticus (Chinese sucker), 1596 nucleotides. RefSeq lists it as uncharacterized. NCBI's taxonomy places the organism in Eukaryota, Metazoa, Chordata, Actinopteri, Cypriniformes, Catostomidae. The record is from RefSeq and is a predicted model, not a curated record. The transcript has 3 exons.
UGAAAAAGUAGUUUUAUAUAAGUCUACACCAUUUAUUGAAGAUUGUUAAGUCAAACAUGGCCUGUAUAUUCUAUUUUCAGUUGACUGUGAUCAUGGAGAGUCCUGGCAUCAUGAGGCUGCAAUGCCUGACUUGGCAAAUGUGCAGAGCUGUCAGGAGGCCUCAGGAGCCAUAGAGCCUCCACAAUGUAAGGAGCUCCAGAAAAUGGCCCCUAACAACUCACUCAUGGUAUCUCAAUCCCUGGACAUCAUUCCAAGUGAAGCCAAUGAAUCGGCUCCAACUUCACAGAAGGUACAGUUUAUUUGCUGUCUUGCUUUUUUUUUUAUUUUUUUUUAUUCUGUUAACUACAUACAAAGCUUUGAAUUGUCUAGCUCCACAGUACUUAAGUGACCUUCUGACACGCUAUAUUCCAUCACGUUCAUUACGAUCACAAAAUUCUGGAUUGCUAAUAAUUCCAAAAAUAUCAAAAUCCACAAAAGGAGGUAGAUCCUUUUCAUACUUGGCUCCUAACACUGUUCGGGAUGCAGACACACACUCAGUUUAAGUCUAGACUAAAGUUUCAUCUAUUUAGCCAGACAUACACUUGAUUUAUCCUUCAACUCACAAUUAGGCUGCUUUAGUUAGUUCUGCUGGAACCAGAAACAUCCAUCAUGAUCUAUAACUCUGCAUAAAAUUGAAUGGCAUCUAUGCUAAUAUUAUUCUAUUUGUUUCCAUGUCUCAACCUCGGGAUUCAUAUCCUGAGGUUACCAAAGCCUGCCAGAUCCAGCUCCAUUCCUGCUUGAUGUCGGACUCCACUGCUACGUGCUGCUGAGAGAUGAUGACAAACUACAGCCGGUGCUAGCCAGACAUCACUUCGGUCUUUUAACUUCAGAGGAUGAACUGAUGCCGACUACAACUGUAAGACAUCGGAUACUUCAUAUGCCACUGCCUGAACCUUGGACUUAGGAUGGACCCCUCCGAACCGCACCAAAAUUACCUGAAGGUUGAACUGCGAUGCACCUUAUUAAUCUCUGCCUGCAUCACCUUUGUCUAUUGAUGGACUACACUCUUGAAAUGGAAUACAUAGACUAUAAUUUAAUUGCCAACAAAAGCCUUCAUCAGCCAACUAACAAAGGACAAUUCAUCUAUGUGAACUUCUGCAGUUAAACCAGGCUGGACUUCAAAGACAUCUGAAAGUUCAUAAAAAAUAUUGUAUUUUUAUUUUUAAAACACUGGACCUUAAUGCUUACUUAAUUUACAAUUUUAAAACCAUGACUUGCACUGCACACAAAUAACUAAUAUUGGCAUUAUAUUCAUGUUGUUUUGCAAGAGGGGAAUUGGCCCCCACAGUGAGUUAUUUCUCUUCAUUAACCAACAUCUUAUAGAGUUUUGUGUUCCUUGCCACAGUUGCCUUCAGCUUGCUCACAGGGGUUCUAAAUACAAUUAUUAUUUAAUUAUUUAAUUUGUAUACACAUUUUACAAUAAUAUUUAAUCAAACUACACAAUGUUCACUGUAAGACAUUAUAGAUAUUAGAGUUUCUUUUUUUUAUUUUUUAUUAAUGCAUGAUUUCCUGUAAAGCUGCUUUGAAACAACGUGUGUUGUGAAAAGCACUAUAGAA